ACACAUAGCAAUUUCCGAUCAAUAAUAGAGACAGAUUGAGCGUUCACACGUCAGAAUGAAUUGAGGAGAUGCCGCCACGGCUUUUGAUUUGACUAACAAUUCCCCAUUAUCAGAUUCUGUGAGACGCAUAUCUGUGGACCUACAUGUAACCUGUGUUGGAGUCUUUUCUUGUGCAUUUGUCUCUCACCUAAGACAACGGUAUGACA
This 206-nucleotide unclassified non-coding RNA is filed under the name Melitaea cinxia (Glanville fritillary). Its description in RNAcentral is "misc RNA ENSMCXG00005000522.1". The record is from RNAcentral. Lineage: Eukaryota; Metazoa; Arthropoda; Insecta; Lepidoptera; Nymphalidae.